Molecule: long non-coding RNA, 874 nt
Organism: Asparagus officinalis (garden asparagus)
Lineage: Eukaryota; Viridiplantae; Streptophyta; Magnoliopsida; Asparagales; Asparagaceae
Exons: 2
Source: RefSeq, a predicted model, not a curated record
AAAAUCCCGAUUCUUUUUGUUCUUCUUCUCCAAACUUCGAUUCCAGCUUCCUUCCUCAAUAAUAUUUCGGUUUCUUCUCCUUCCCAAGCUCUGGUCUUUUGAGAACUCCCCCACUUCAAGAAUUCGAACAAGAUUAGAACUCCACAAGCCCUUUAAAUCUUUCAUCCUCUCCUUCUUCAAACUCCUCAACUCCCUCAAAUCUACGAGCAAGGCCAGCUAGGGUUCGAAAAUUGGACGUUGGCUAUCCGGGUUUGCACACAGUUCAUCCCCCUCUUGAGUUCCAGAUUAGCUAUGUCGACGAUUUGGACCGGCUGGAGCGCGAAUUCCGACGGUUAUAAGAGUUGAAGACUGCCGGUACUUCAACGUACAUAGCCAUCCGGAUGGAAUCUCAUCUACAAGCAUGGCAUGACACUCGGGCUUCUGCUGGACUUGAGAUUCAAAUGCAACAAAGUCAGGUGGAUCAAAUGGAGGCCGUCCUCACUGAGAAACAAACAUCUACGCGUCAACUCAAAUCCUCUAUUACGUCGGGUAAGGCUAAGAUAGAGCAACCCGAAGAGGAGCUCAAAGCAGAGGUGGAGGCCUUGGCUAUCUUAGGGAUGACGAAGGAUGACUUGGAGCGUUCACAAGUUGUGAUAUCCGGAAAAUUGGAGCUCUCGAAACAAAAGUUAGCCAAGAUCAAACAAGAGGCUGUGAAAACAUUAUCCCUCACUGAGGAAUCCUUCAAGGUUGCAUUGCAGUGUGAGCUUGAGCGAACUUAUACAGAGGAAUUGACUAAACUUGAACAGCAAGUCUGUAGUCACAAACUUCAUGUAGAUUGAUUGUAACUCUUGUACCUGCAAACUCAAUUUUAUUAAUAGAAGAUAUGUCUUUUUCA